GUGAAUCAUCGAAUUUUUGAACGCAAAUUGCACUCUCUUCGGAGAGUAUGCCUGUUUGAGGGUCAGCCUAAAAAAAAUCGACAUAGUCGCUGUUUCGCGGUGACAUUCGUCGGAAAUUGGGUCAUCUUAAACCUUUGGGUUUUAAGCGGCUUAAAAUUUUCUUUACGAUUCCACGAACGUUUCUAAGUUUAAUUUUUUACCGUUUUAAGUAAUUGAUUUUUUAUUAGCCGUGGC
This 234-nucleotide unclassified non-coding RNA is filed under the name Glomus sp. Its description in RNAcentral is "partial contains 5.8S ribosomal RNA and internal transcribed spacer 2". The stretch from base 1 to 65 matches the Rfam family "5.8S ribosomal RNA", at positions 84 to 154 of the family's 154-position model. The record is from RNAcentral. Lineage: Eukaryota; Fungi; Glomeromycota; Glomeromycetes; Glomerales; Glomeraceae.